This 253-nucleotide ribosomal RNA is filed under the name uncultured bacterium. Its description in RNAcentral is "partial 16S ribosomal RNA". It matches the Rfam family "Bacterial small subunit ribosomal RNA", at positions 524 to 776 of the family's 1533-position model. The record is from RNAcentral.
UACAGAGGUCUCGAGCGUUAGGCGGAAUCACUGGGCUUAAAGCGUGUGUAGGCGGCGGGCUAAGUACCUUGUGAAAUCCCACGGCCUAACUGUGGAACUGCUGGGUAUACUGGUUCGCUUGAGCGGUCUAGGGGCGAGCGGAACAAAUGGUGGAGCGGUGAAAUGCGUAGAUAUCAUUUGGAACGCCAACGGUGAAAACAGCUCGCUGGGGACCUGCUGACGCUGAGACACGAAAGCCAGGGGAGCGAACGGG